GUGGGAGGCUCGGCUGUCGGCAGCUGCUUAUAAGAAAAUAAAAUAUCUGGUUGCUUCACUCCAGUCUGAUGGGCUUCGUUGAAGAUGGUGACUGCUAACUAUUAACGAUCUGCUGGAAUUAAUGUUGUAACCUUAUCUACAGGAUCUUCGGAAACACAACAAGAUUGUCUCUGCUACACAGCCCCUUCAGAGUAGUUGACAGAGGAUUAUAUUUGUGCUGACUCCUGCUGGAAUACAACUUUGCUGCCACCAACUGGCAGGAAGUCUCAAAUACAUCUCCUAGAGGUUACCCAGCAUGUUUGAACUAGACAGUGAGUUUUGGAUCUUCAUCUAACCAUAACUGUAGCUGAGAUCAGUUUUGCUUUUCCAGCCAUAGAUGACAGUAGAUUUUGAUUUUGUAUGGAAUCUGGAUGAUAUUUUGCUGAAGUCCAAAGACUCCACAUGCUCUAAGAGGAAAAAGAAAGUCAUCUCACGUUUGUCUUAAAUGAAUGACACUUUAUUUUGAAAUAGUGACCUCUGGUUCUGUAGAACAUGGAACAGUACAGCACAGGAACAGGCCCUUCAGCCCACAAUAUUAUGCUGAACCAAUGACACCUCAUUUCUUCCGUCUGCAUAUGGUACAUAUCCCUCCAUUCUUUGGAUAUUCAUGUGCCAAUCAAAGAACCUUUUAAAUACCUGUGUUGCAUCUGCCUCACCACCAUCCCUGGUAGCACACUUCAGGCACCCAUCACUCUCUGUAAUAAAAGUCUUGCCCCCAAUACGUCCCUUGAACUUGCCCCUUCUCACCUUAAGUGCAUGUAUUCUAGUAUUAGACAUCACGACUGGGUGAACAAAUCCAGCUGUGAGAGGCUAUCUGUGCUUCACUUAGUUUUAUAAACUUCUAACAGGACUCUCCUCAGCUUCUGCUCCUCAAGUGGAAAAAAAAUCAAGAUUGUCAAACCUCUCCUUACAGUAUAUGCCCUCUAGUCAGGCAGCAUCCUGGUAAACCUCUUCUGCACCUUCAUCAAAACCUCCACAUCCUUCCUAUAUUGGGAUAGACCAGAAUUUAAUCCAAUAUUCCAGAUAUGGAUUAAGCAGUACUUUAUAAAGCUGCAGUAUAACUUUCUGGGGGACAUCCAUAUCUAUUCUAAUCAUCAAACGCCAUCCAUACCAGACCCAUUUACGAGCAGUACCACAGCAAUUUUGGUGCUCAUCUAGAUAAUUCUUAUAUAUUGUGAGAGAUAGCCUCCAGCAGGUAAAUAGACAACGUGUUCCAGAUUCCAACCACUGGGUAAAAUAUUUUGUCUUCCUUAACCUCUCUUUGCCAUAAAUUUCUGCCCUCUCUAUUUUCUUGCUGCCUACUCUAUCUAUGCCCCUUGAAUAUAUACAACAAGUCUAAUCUGUUCAAUCUUUCCUUGUAAGAGAACCCCCCCCCCCCCUCCAUUCCAGGCAUUACUAAUAAACCUUGUCUGGUCUGCUUCCAAUGUAUUAACAUCUUUUUUAAGUAAGACUAGUAGUGUACACAGCAUUCCAGAUGUGCUCUUACCAGUGCCCUGUAUAACGGAAGCAUUACCUUCCUAAUUUUAUAUCCAGUUUCCUUGGCAAUAAACAAUCACAUUCUAUUAGCUUUCUGAAAGUAUUUGCCACAGUGGCAUUUUUGCCAGCAUUAUAAAUCAUGUACUAGGACACCCAGGUCCCUCUGAACAAUAGACAAUAGGUGCAGGAGUAGGCCCUUCGAGCCCUUCGAGCCUCACACAUUUAGAUAAAAGGUCUCAUUUUAAUUCUUCCUGGAAAAAUCAACGAUUUCACAUGUUCCCACACACUGCAUUUGCAGAUUUCUGCCCAGUCAUUUACCCUCCCUACUUUCCCUCACAGGUUCCUUGUGUCUGCUUCACAACUUUCCAACCUGUGCUUGUGCCAUCGACACAGGCAGAGUGUUGAACCUGAUUUUGUGUGGCUAAACCUCACCGAUGAUCCAUCAGCGAGCCUUUGAGACACUCAUGUACAGUUACAAUGUGUUCAUUAGAUCGAAAGGAAGGAAGAUAUGCCUUUCACCACUGCAAACACCUUACAGUUAAUGAAGCACCUUUGAGGUGGGAUUAUUAUUCUAAUAGGGCCCCAUUUUGUGCACAGUUGCUCCUACAACCAACGAAGUGAUUGCACAAUCCCCCUUAAAAAUAUUGAGUAAGUGAUGAGUAUUUACCACACUUCCCUGCUCCUGUUUGAAGUUGUGUUUUGAAUUAUUUUACAUCAUCUUGAGAGAGCGGGAAGGCUUUUUGUUGAUGUGAAAGACAGCACGCCAUAGAGUCUUAUAAGCAUUGAAUACUGGCCAUUCAGCCCACCAUGUCUAUGCCAACCACGGGACAUUCUCAAAUUAAUCCCAUUCUGCCUCAUAACCUCCUGCACUUCAGCGACUGAAAUGUUGAUCUAGGCAUUUCUUAAAUGCUGUCGAUGACUCUUUCCAUCGCUCUCACGGGUAGUGUUUUCCAAGUACUCUCAACACUCUGGGCAAAGGAGUUCUGGUAUUGCAGCUCUCCCUCUUCUAACCCAGGUGAGGGCGUGCUACGCACUGAGGCAAACUGGAUGGGGGGGGUCAAUCAGUCUUGAAAUGAAGUGGUUAUCCAUGUGAGAACGCUGAACUCUAAACUUUGGAGCUCAUCAGCAUUUAAAGGGUUAAAUCCAUGGGUGCACUAUAUUUAAAAAAAGAUGUGAUUCAGCUGUCAAUUUUCCUUGUACUGUACACUGUUAAGUCAUAUACAUCUGUACUUAAUUUAUAAAAGAAGUUAAUGAGAAACUUCAAACAAUUUAAAUGUCAAUUACAAAGAAAGCAUGGUUUGAAAAUUCCAGUAAUCUGUCCAUAUUGGGAUUCAAACCACGUUCCCAGGUGUAUAUAAUUCAUGGCAGAUGACAUUCCAAAGAUCCAAUUACAGAGGUUCUGCUAAUCUUCAACGCAGGAUUGAGUGCAGGAGCACACUGAGCAUCUGUCACGCCAUGUUGUGGCUGCAUUGAGACAUGUGCUCGAAGAUAUUACUGUACAUAAACUUUAUGUCACGUUAGUAAUGAAGUUGAGCUUCAAAGUUAUUAGUUCCUUGGACAGAUGAGAAAUGUGAACUUUACUGUGCUGCUGUAGUUUUGCAGCAGUAAAGAAAAAUGAGCCUCUGGAUUAUAAAAGAAAGUGUAAUACUUCAGUUCUUUGAUUUUUGUAUUACAAUAUUUAUGUUUUAUGUAGCUUUUUAAGGUGCUUAGCUUGGGUGAAUUGCCUUUGAAAUUGAGUUGUGUGAUAUUAGCAUGAUGCAUGUUCAGCCAGGCCAUGCAUUGUGAAAGGUACAUUUCCUAUUUCUGCUGAGCGUGAGUGUCUUUCCUGCUUUCUAGUGUGGGCUGCAGUGUAUCAGGGACACCAACAAGCCAAAGAUUAAGUAAUAUCCCGAAAGAAAAAAAGAUUGACUGCAAGUAUGAAGUCGACAAGUGAUGAAAGUAGCCCUGAGGUUGCCAAUUAAAUAGGCAAGGCCUGGAACUGAUAAGUUAAUGGGCAGUUUCCCCUUUUUUUUGGCCAGCAAAAGCUUUAAAGUACAGGUUAUAAAAAUCAGAAGUGUAACCUAUUUCCUACAACAUAUCCAAUUAAGCUGAGCCACUUAGACUUUGCAGACUUUGUCUUUCUUCUUUCCUAGUUUGGGUUAACUGAUAGAGUGCUGAAUUCCUAGAAUCAUCAUCAAGAUAGUUCAGUCAGUGAAAUACAGACCUGCUUGCUUUAUUCAUUUCAAAUUUAGGAAAAAUACAUUUCAAGCUGCUUUUACAUACGUCACCAUGUGAUUAUUCUGAAGCUAAUUAAAAUUAGAUUUUAUCACAACAGCUGCUCAUUUUAGGUAAAUGAUGCACCUUGGAAAAAAAGUUAGUUGCUACAUUUGAGUUUUAAUUUUUGCUGAGCUGGGGAAAUAUAUUGACUUUCUCUUGUGUGCACCACAAGUGAUUACAAAUUUAGCACACGUCCUUCUGUUGAAAGUAACAGAUUUGUGUAAAUAAUAUAAUGUAGUAUUUGAGUUGUUAGGCUUCAUUGUAUCCUUCAUUGUUGAAUUAUUCCUUGGAAGUGAACUCCAGGCACAAAAACAAUAACUCCUAUUCGAAGAAGAGCAGUGGAGUUCUUUCCAAUAUCUAGGUCCAAAUCUACCCUUCACCACUGGAACUGAUUAUGAAGUCAGUAUCUUCUUGCUCUUUGUGGGAUUCUGUUGUGCAAGAAUUGGCAACUGUGUCCAAUGAUGAUAAUAGUGACAACCUUUUAAAACUGCUUUGACUAUAAAGUACUUUGCAAUGUUCAGAAUAAGGUGCUAUGUAAAUGUAACUCAGUCUUGUUUUCAUUUUUGCCACCUAGGAUUUCAUGCUUUUAGGUCUGUGGCCUUAAACCGAUCAUGUAUAAUGUUUCAGGAUCAUUUUGCUGAAAAGUCUAAAUUCGAAACUGAAAUUGUCAAUAAAACAUUUCAUUAUAUUAAUUUCAGUUAUUGAAUAUUGACAAAUUAAAGUCCAAUAUAUCUUCUAUUAUUGCUCAAUAAAUAAUUUGUGGAGUAUACUUUGAUUUUGCUGUUGACGGUUUUUUAAUGCUAUUCUUUACAUUGAUUUCCAUAUGCAGCAUUCUUAUGUUUAGAUUCUUGUAUUUUACAGAAACCCUAAUCUUAAAAUGGAUAUUAUUUCUAUGGCCCAGGGAUCUAAUAAUUCAGCUCUUGAAAGUCCAAGUGAAUUAUUUCAUGAAGGAUCCCUCCCACCCUGCUCAUAGACUGUUUGUCCCACUUCCAUUAGGGAGGAGUCUGCAUAGCAUCCACACCAGGACCACCAGACUCAAAAGGUUGCCUUCUCCAAGCAGUAAGGCUGAUCAACAUCUCCAGCCAUUAACCUCCCCACCAAAACCCUACCACCACUACUUUAUCACUUCUUAUCAGGGUCAACUUGUGUACAGACACUCCUGUACCUAGUAUCACUUUAUGUACAUACAAUCAAUCUAUAUAUAUAUCUUGUGUAUUUAUAUCUUUUUUUAUUAUUGUGCUUUUUAUCUUAUUGAUUUUUUUGUGUUGCAUCAUAUCUGGAAUAAUAAUAAUUUUGUUCUCCUUUACAUUAACUGGA
Molecule: long non-coding RNA, 5088 nt
Organism: Mobula hypostoma (lesser devil ray)
Lineage: Eukaryota; Metazoa; Chordata; Chondrichthyes; Myliobatiformes; Myliobatidae
Exons: 3
Source: RefSeq, a predicted model, not a curated record